CCUACGGGAGGCAGCAGUGGGGAAUAUUGGACAAUGGGGGCAACCCUGAUCCAGCCAUGCCGCGUGUGUGAAGAAGGCCCUCGGGUUGUAAAGCACUUUCAGUGAGGAAGAACGCCUGGUGGUUAAUACCCAUCAGGAAAGACAUCACUCACAGAAGAAGCACCGGCUAACUCCGUGCCAGCAGCCGCGGUAAUACGGAGGGUGCGAGCGUUAAUCGGAAUUACUGGGCGUAAAGCGCGCGUAGGUGGCUUGAUAAGCCGGUUGUGAAAGCCCCGGGCUCAACCUGGGAACGGCAUCCGGAACUGUCAAGCUAGAGUGCAGGAGAGGAAGGUAGAAUUCCCGGUGUAGCGGUGAAAUGCGUAGAGAUCGGGAGGAAUACCAGUGGCGAAGGCGGCCUUCUGGACUGACACUGACACUGAGGUGCGAAAGCGUGGGUAGCAAACAGGAUUAGAUACCCCUGUAGUC
Molecule: ribosomal RNA, 465 nt
Filed under: Vreelandella stevensii
Lineage: Bacteria; Pseudomonadati; Pseudomonadota; Gammaproteobacteria; Oceanospirillales; Halomonadaceae
Description: partial 16S ribosomal RNA
Rfam family: Bacterial small subunit ribosomal RNA
Source: RNAcentral